GAUGAACGCUGGCGGCGUGCCUAAUACAUGCAAGUCGAGCGAACAGAUGAGGAGCUUGCUCCUCUGACGUUAGCGGCGGACGGGUGAGUAACACGUGGAUAACCUACCUAUAAGACUGGGAUAACUUCGGGAAACCGGAGCUAAUACCGGAUAAUAUAUUGAACCGCAUGGUUCAAUAGUGAAAGACGGUUUUGCUGUCACUUAUAGAUGGAUCCGCGCCGCAUUAGCUAGUUGGUAAGGUAACGGCUUACCAAGGCAACGAUGCGUAGCCGACCUGAGAGGGUGAUCGGCCACACUGGAACUGAGACACGGUCCAGACUCCUACGGGAGGCAGCAGUAGGGAAUCUUCCGCAAAGGGCGAAAGCCUGACGGAGCAACGCCGCGUGAGUGAUGAAGGUCUUCGGAUCGUAAAACUCCGUUAUUAGGGAAGAACAAAUGUGUAAGUAACUAUGCACGUCUUGACGGUACCUAAUCAGAAAGCCACGGCUAACUACGUG
Molecule: ribosomal RNA, 497 nt
Filed under: uncultured bacterium
Lineage: Bacteria
Description: partial 16S ribosomal RNA
Rfam family: Bacterial small subunit ribosomal RNA
Source: RNAcentral